AGAUGAACCCGGUGAAUGGUAGAACCGGGGUAAGCGUGUAGGAGGAGGACCAGGCAAAUCCGGGCCUCAUAUACUCUGAGACGUGAUACCGAGCCGCUUCAGGCGAAGUCAUUAAUCCUAUGCUGCCUAGAAAAGCCCAGUAGCGAGUUGACAUGGUGCCCGUACCCCAAACCAACACAGGUGGACAGGUAGAGCAUACCAAGGCGAGUGGGAUAACUAUGGUUAAGGGACUCGGCAAAUUUCCUCCGUAACUUCGGGAUAAGGAGGACCCCAGAAGCGUGACGAGACUUGCUCUCCGAGCGUGAAGGGGUGGCACAAAAUUGAGGGAAGCGACUGUUUACCAAAAACACAGCAGCGUGCUAAGCCGUAAGGCGCUGUAUACGCUGUGACUCCUGCCCGGUGCUGGAAGGUUACGGGGAUGGGUUAGUCCUUUGGGACGAAGCUCUGAACCUAAGCCCCAGUAAACGGCGGCCGUAACUAUAACGGUCCUAAGGUAGCGAAAUUCCUUGUCGGGUAAGUUCCGACCUGCACGAAUGGAGUAACGACUUCCCUACUGUCUCAACCAUAGACCCAGCGAAAUUGAAGUACGAGUAAAGAUGCUCGUUAGCUGCAGAAGGACGGAAAGACCCCGUGGACCUUUACUAUAACUUGAUGUUGUGUUUUGUCAUAUGUUGUGUAGGAUAGGUGGGAGACAAGGAAGCAUGGACGCUAGUCUGUGUGGAGUCAUCGUUGAAAUACCACCCUGCAUAUGGUGAGGCUCUAACCUAGACCCGUUAUCCGGGUUGGGGACAGCGUCAGGCGGGUAGUUUAACUGGGGCGGUUGCCUCCUAAAGAGUAACGGAGGCGCCCAAAGGUUCCCUCAGCCUGGUUGGCAAUCAGGCGUCGAGUGCAAUGGCAAAAGGGAGCUUGACUGCGAGACCUACAAGUCGAGCAGGAGCGAAAGCUGGGCAUAGUGAUCCGGCGGUUGCGUGUGGAAGCGCCGUCGCUCAACGGAUAAAAGGUACCCCGGGGAUAACAGGCUAAUCUUGCCCAAGCGUCCAUAGCGACGGCAAGGUUUGGCACCUCGAUGUCGGCUCAUCGCAUCCUGGGGCUGAAGCAGGUCCCAAGGGUUGGGCUGUUCGCCCAUUAAAGCGGUACGCGAGCUGGGUUCAGAACGUCGUGAGACAGUUCGGUCCCUAUCCUCUGUAGCCGUAGGUGAAUUGAGGAAAGCUGUCCCUAGUACGAGAGGACCGGGACGGACGCAGCUCUCGUGUGCCAGUUGUCCUGCCAAGGGCAUGGCUGGUUAGCGACCUGCGGAAAGGAUAACCGCUGAAAGCAUCUAAGCGGGAAGCCUCUUCCAAGAUGAUUUCACCCACAGGGUUAACCUGGUAAGGCCCGUGGUAGACCACCACGUUGAUAGGCCGGAAGUGUAAGCGAGGCAACACGUUCAGCUGACCGGUACUAAUCGGCC
RNAcentral lists this ribosomal RNA (1450 nucleotides) under metagenome. Its description in RNAcentral is "bacterial LSU rRNA". It matches the Rfam family "Bacterial large subunit ribosomal RNA", at positions 1484 to 2910 of the family's 2925-position model. The record is from RNAcentral.